RNAcentral lists this ribosomal RNA (228 nucleotides) under uncultured bacterium. RNAcentral describes it as "partial 16S ribosomal RNA". It matches the Rfam family "Bacterial small subunit ribosomal RNA", at positions 568 to 795 of the family's 1533-position model. The record is from RNAcentral.
UGCGUAGGCGGAAUGAUAAGUUAGUGGUGAAAGCCCCCGGCACAACCGGGGAACUGCCAUUAAUACUGUCAUUCUUGAGUAUAGUUGAAGUGGGCGGAAUGUAUCAUGUAGCGGUGAAAUGCUUAGAUAUGAUACAGAACACCGAUAGCGUAGGCAGCUUGCUAAACUAUAACUGACGCUCAGGCACGAAAGCGUGGGGAGCAAACAGGAUUAGAUACCCUGGUAGUC